Molecule: ribosomal RNA, 253 nt
Filed under: uncultured bacterium
Lineage: Bacteria
Description: partial 16S ribosomal RNA
Rfam family: Bacterial small subunit ribosomal RNA
Source: RNAcentral
UACGUAGGGGGCUAGCGUUGUCCGGAUUUAUUGGGCGUAAAGAGCGUGUAGGCGGCCAGGUAGGUCUGGUGUGAAAACUCGAGGCUUAACCUCGAGAUGUCAUCGGAAACCAUCUGGCUAGAGUCCGGAAGAGGAGAGUGGAAUUCCCGGUGUAGCGGUGAAAUGCGCAGAUAUCGGGAAGAACACCCGUGGCGAAGGCGGUUCUCUGGGACGGUACUGACGCUGAGACGCGAAAGCGUGGGGAGCGAACAGG